AGUCCGGAUUGGAGUCUGCAACUCGACUCCAUGAAGUCGGAAUCGCUAGUAAUCGUGGAUCAGAAUGCCACGGUGAAUACGUUCCCGGGCCUUGUACACACCGCCCGUCACACCAUGGGAGUGGGCUGCAAAAGAAGUAGGUAGUUUAACCUUCGGGGGGACGCUUACCACUUUGUGGUUCAUGACUGGGGUGAAGUCGUAACAAGGUAGCGCUAGGGGAACCUGGCGCUGGAUCACCUCCUUAAACGAUGAU
RNAcentral lists this ribosomal RNA (253 nucleotides) under Vibrio parahaemolyticus. RNAcentral describes it as "partial 16S ribosomal RNA". It matches the Rfam family "Bacterial small subunit ribosomal RNA", at positions 1290 to 1533 of the family's 1533-position model. Lineage: Bacteria; Pseudomonadati; Pseudomonadota; Gammaproteobacteria; Vibrionales; Vibrionaceae. The record is from RNAcentral.